CAGCAUCCAUGGUUAAGACAUAGAGCCACUCCUCAGGCAUACCAGCGAGUCUUCUCACAGUAAUAAACUCUUUGCUCUGAACAACAUACCUCCAUCUCUUACAGACACGUCCCAUGGAAGGUAAGCUAGCACGCGGCACCAGCGCCAGACACAGCUUGGCCACAUCAUCAGACAACCCCGGGAUCAAAGGCUCAGACAGCAGCCGUGAACUGAGAUCAAGAUUUACCAUCCUUUUCUUCCCACUAACAACAGCCUCCAUCUUUUUGACUAAUCUUUUGAACAAGAGAGAUGGUUAAAUCUCCCAAUAUAAAUAUCUAUCUAAAGUAAAGUUUUGGUGUAUGAAGAAGUAGUUAUUGAAGAAUCUCGUGAAACCCGUCACGUAUAGGGAUUUUCAAAGACAAAGGAAUAAACAGGUUUGAUGAGAAGAAGACUAUCGCAGUGACCAAUGAUGAAUGAUGAUGAUGUCCAGCUUCAUAUUCCAUACCAAUGGCUUCGUUUCUAGAGUUUUUAAGAUCUAAGAUUGUCGUUAAAUUAAUGUUGUUUCUUCUCAGACACAUCUCUGUAUCUAAAACCAAAACAAAGAUUAAAAGAUUUGUCAACAACAGGUUCCCAAAACAAAAGAGAGUUGCAAGAAAGAAGACAUACCAUUAAAGGGAAUGCUAGUGAAGGAGAUUUAGCCAACCGCAACAUCCAUCUCUUAGAAUUUGCGAAUGUUCUGCAAUUUUUUUUUAGAUAAGUCAAAUGUUGAACGAAGUCAAGAACCAAUAAGAUCGCAAUCAUGAGAAUCAAACAAAGAGAUAGGAUGUUCCACUGAAUAAAAAAAGAACACGCAGCAUCAUAUAACCACAAAAAAAAAUCAGGAAAAAGCAGUGGAUAUCAAUUAAUUUCCUGAAAAGAAAAAUGAAUAUAAUUUCUCUAGAGUUGGCUAAGAUCUCAAGAUCGGUGCUUCCAAGACCAUUAAAAAAAACUAACAAUGAAUCAAAAAUUGCAGAAAAUUUACUAUAAUGGUGGUGAGAGACCUGAAGCGGAUGAUUCAUUUCUAAAGAAGAAACUUAAAAUCCAAAUGGCUAAGACAUUUAUAGAAAAAAGAACGAAAAUGGCGGAAAGAAAUAAAAAGGAUAGAGAUGAAAGAAAGUACCGAGAGAAUAGGGAGGCCUUGUCUUUUUCUUUUGAGUCUUCUUUGUUCUUGCGUUGAACUUGGUUUGCAGAGAAGAAGAGAGAGAGAGAGAGAGAUGUAAUAAUAAUAAGGAUGGUGUAUUUAUAAAGGGGAGCGUGAGAUUCGAACAAUUAUUAUAUUUAUGAGCAAAAUCACAGGAGGAAGCAUCAUACGGUGGAUCGGCCGUAAGAUAAUCAUGUCUACUAGUCACCACGUCACUUUCACCCCAUCACCAUCUAUUUAUUAUUGUAUAUUUUCCAUUUACUUACCGGAGACAUGUUUUUUAUUCAGACCACGACGAAGACAUGUUUUAUUUUUAUAAAGUAAACUCUACUCCAUCAGACUAAUCUAUGUCCAUUAAGAUUUUUUUUUGGUUUGUUGGGCUCUUUUUGGUUGUUGGGGUCAGGGCCAACCUUGGAAAGGAGUCAUAUUUGAAUACAAGUCAUACAACAAUUUCUCAAUAAACUCCUAACCGUAACAUUAAAUUUGGUGUUGAAAUAGCAUUAAAAUAGAUGAUAACCCACACGCGCAAGGUGAAUUUUUAUAAUAAUAUUUGUUCAUUAAAUGGUUUUACUAUUUUGCAACACUACAACCUUUAGUGAUUGCAACAAUCACUCAAACCGCUCUAAACCUCAUAAAUUCAAAAACUGGUUCCAGCUAGCAUUUGCAGUUGCAGGAGGAUAAAUUGUUUUUUUAAAAUAAUAUAAAUACAAAAAUAAAAAUAUUCAAUAAAAAAUUUAAAUUGGAAUUAUAAAAAUACUAAAAUAUAUCUAUUAUAUUUUAAUUAAUAUUAUAAAAUUUUAAAAUAAAAAUAUUUUCUAUANNNNNNNNNNNNNNNNNNNNNNNNNNNNNNNNNNNNNNNNNNNNNNNNNNNNNNUAUAUAUAUAUAUAUAUAAUAUGAAUAUCUAUUAAUGUAUAUAAUAUGAAUAUCUAUUAAUGAGACUUCAUAUUCAUACGAUUUAUCAAGGCUGGACGUUUUAUCCGAUACCUGAACCCGUAUCUGAAUCCAAUCCAAAAAUUCGAACUGAAGUAGCAAAAUAUCCGAACGGUUAUUGGAUUCGGAAAGAUUGGAUAUCCGAACCUAAACGGGUAAUAUCCGAACCCGAACGGAUAUAUAUCCAACCAUAAAUAUACUUAACUUUAUAUUUCUAGUUUACUUUUCUCAUUUUAUUCAAAAUAUUUAUAUUAAUGAUGCACAUUGCUCAAAAUUAGAUAAUAUACCUAUAAUUAUGGACAAAAACAUUUUUUUCUCACUUAAAAUACAUAUCAAACUCUUGUUUCUUGCAUAAACAAAAGUUCAUCUAAAAUUUCAAAACAACAACUAAUUAGUGUUUCUAUUUUUAAAGUUUUAUCUCCAAACCUAUUAAUAGUGUAAUCUUUUAAAAAUUAGAAAACCAGUUAAGUUAAAAGUAUAUUUUCAAUUAAAAAAAACUUAAACAAUAAAUAAUUUAUUUAUUUUUUCUUCAAAGUUUAAAUAUCUGAACCCGAACAUAAAAUACCCGAACCCGAUCCGAAGUGUAGAAAUACUCAAACGGGUUCAAUGCCUUUAUACUGAAAUACCCGAAAAAUCCUAAAUACCUGAUACGAACCCGAACGGGUAUCUGAAUGCUCACCCACGCAGGAACCAGACAGUUUUAUCUCAGAUGUUUUCCACUGCCUGCCUGGUGCAGCUUCCGGGUCAUACAACAAAGUACUGUGACCAGUCUCUUCUUGAGAUGAAAAAAGCAGAAGCUUCCCACUCAGCUUACCAAACUGAAACCCGGCCCUCGAGCUUCCUGACAGCGGAAGAGCCACAACUUCCCAAGUAUCAUCUUCUGCAUUGAAGACAGACAUCUUCCUCUGGUUCUUCCACUCGAUACAGAAGAGCUUCUUUCCUACUUCAACAUGAGCUGUGACCAUCUGCAAUUGUAUCAAGAGCACCUAAAUAUUAGAGAUACUCUCUAUCAAUGUUCAAGAACUCAGCGGAUUAUUGGGAACUUAGGCGAGCCAAUGCAUUAAAAAAAUUAUUGAUUUAUUUUAUAUAUAUUUAACAUUUAUAUAAGAUGUUUAUUUCUUGACUUUAAUUGUAAUUUUUUUUUUAUGAAUUAUCAAAAUUAGAUAUUCAACGUAAGAAAUUAGACAAAAUUGUGAAUUCAUACUAAUUUAACAGAUUUAAACUAAUUUAGAUCGAAUUAAACCGAUUUAAAAUGAUAUAAAUCGAUGUAGAAUGAUUUAAAUCAUAUAUAUAUAUAUCAGAUUUCUUGAAAAUCGUUUCAGAUAGUACCGAUUUGCCCUAACCAUGGUAAUCCAUACUUUAAAACCAAGCUAAAGAAACAUACUAUCAUGUGUAUCAUCUGAGGAGAAACACUUACAGUUACACCGUUUUUGCUGCCACACCAGGAGCCACACUGAGGGUUGUACACAUCAACAAGUUUUGAGUUACCAAUGGUGAAGUUGGAUCUCCCACCCAUCACAUAGAGCUUCCCGUUGAAGCCGCUAGCGAAACAUCCCCAUCUCGGACGCCUCAGAGACUGUAUGAAAGUCCAAACCCCUGUCUCUGGAUCGUAAACCUCUGCACUAGAAAGACUCUCACCAUCUCCACCAUGACCUCCCACCACAUAAACAAGCCCAUUCACCUCGGCGCAAGCAAAGUCAUAGCGAGCCUCCUUCAGGUCAGCUAGUCUGCUCCAGCUGGAUUAAAAAGUAUUAAAUCAUUGGAUCAAAGUUAACAAAGUAUGCUGGAAUUAAUUAAGAAAAUAAAUAGCUGACGAACCUGUUGAGGCAAGUAUCAAACUGGUAAACAUCAGAAGAUGCAACAUGAGAGCCACUGAUCAUAGCACAACCAGCAAUAACAAGAAGUUUCCCAUCAACAACAACCACCUUAAACCCUGUCUUUACAGGACCAGGCAUUGGUGGAAGAGAUGAUAGCUUAUGUCCCAGACAGUCGAUCACCUCCCAGUGACUCUCUUUCCCGCCAGCAUCCAUGGUUAAGACAUAGAGCCACUCCUCAGGCAUACCAGCGAGUCUUCUCACAGUAAUAAACUCUUUGCUCUGAACAACAUACCUCCAUCUCUUACAGACACGUCCCAUGGAAGGUAAGCUAGCACGCGGCACCAGCGCCAGACACAGCUUGGCCACAUCAUCAGACAACCCCGGGAUCAAAGGCUCAGACAGCAGCCGUGAACUGAGAUCAAGAUUUACCAUCCUUUUCUUCCCACUAACAACAGCCUCCAUCUUUUUGACUAAUCUUUUGAACAAGAGAGAUGGUUAAAUCUCCCAAUAUAAAUAUCUAUCUAAAGUAAAGUUUUGGUGUAUGAAGAAGUAGUUAUUGAAGAAUCUCGUGAAACCCGUCACGUAUAGGGAUUUUCAAAGACAAAGGAAUAAACAGGUUUGAUGAGAAGAAGACUAUCGCAGUGACCAAUGAUGAAUGAUGAUGAUGUCCAGCUUCAUAUUCCAUACCAAUGGCUUCGUUUCUAGAGUUUUUAAGAUCUAAGAUUGUCGUUAAAUUAAUGUUGUUUCUUCUCAGACACAUCUCUGUAUCUAAAACCAAAACAAAGAUUAAAAGAUUUGUCAACAACAGGUUCCCAAAACAAAAGAGAGUUGCAAGAAAGAAGACAUACCAUUAAAGGGAAUGCUAGUGAAGGAGAUUUAGCCAACCGCAACAUCCAUCUCUUAGAAUUUGCGAAUGUUCUGCAAUUUUUUUUUAGAUAAGUCAAAUGUUGAACGAAGUCAAGAACCAAUAAGAUCGCAAUCAUGAGAAUCAAACAAAGAGAUAGGAUGUUCCACUGAAUAAAAAAAGAACACGCAGCAUCAUAUAACCACAAAAAAAAAUCAGGAAAAAGCAGUGGAUAUCAAUUAAUUUCCUGAAAAGAAAAAUGAAUAUAAUUUCUCUAGAGUUGGCUAAGAUCUCAAGAUCGGUGCUUCCAAGACCAUUAAAAAAAACUAACAAUGAAUCAAAAAUUGCAGAAAAUUUACUAUAAUGGUGGUGAGAGACCUGAAGCGGAUGAUUCAUUUCUAAAGAAGAAACUUAAAAUCCAAAUGGCUAAGACAUUUAUAGAAAAAAGAACGAAAAUGGCGGAAAGAAAUAAAAAGGAUAGAGAUGAAAGAAAGUACCGAGAGAAUAGGGAGGCCUUGUCUUUUUCUUUUGAGUCUUCUUUGUUCUUGCGUUGAACUUGGUUUGCAGAGAAGAAGAGAGAGAGAGAGAGAGAUGUAAUAAUAAUAAGGAUGGUGUAUUUAUAAAGGGGAGCGUGAGAUUCGAACAAUUAUUAUAUUUAUGAGCAAAAUCACAGGAGGAAGCAUCAUACGGUGGAUCGGCCGUAAGAUAAUCAUGUCUACUAGUCACCACGUCACUUUCACCCCAUCACCAUCUAUUUAUUAUUGUAUAUUUUCCAUUUACUUACCGGAGACAUGUUUUUUAUUCAGACCACGACGAAGACAUGUUUUAUUUUUAUAAAGUAAACUCUACUCCAUCAGACUAAUCUAUGUCCAUUAAGAUUUUUUUUUGGUUUGUUGGGCUCUUUUUGGUUGUUGGGGUCAGGGCCAACCUUGGAAAGGAGUCAUAUUUGAAUACAAGUCAUACAACAAUUUCUCAAUAAACUCCUAACCGUAACAUUAAAUUUGGUGUUGAAAUAGCAUUAAAAUAGAUGAUAACCCACACGCGCAAGGUGAAUUUUUAUAAUAAUAUUUGUUCAUUAAAUGGUUUUACUAUUUUGCAACACUACAACCUUUAGUGAUUGCAACAAUCACUCAAACCGCUCUAAACCUCAUAAAUUCAAAAACUGGUUCCAGCUAGCAUUUGCAGUUGCAGGAGGAUAAAUUGUUUUUUUAAAAUAAUAUAAAUACAAAAAUAAAAAUAUUCAAUAAAAAAUUUAAAUUGGAAUUAUAAAAAUACUAAAAUAUAUCUAUUAUAUUUUAAUUAAUAUUAUAAAAUUUUAAAAUAAAAAUAUUUUCUAUGCAUUAUUAAAAACCAGAAAAUGGUUUAUGAAUAACACUGUUAAAGCUAACGCAAAAAAGCAUCAUUUAAUAAAACUAUGUAUUAUUUUAAUAAUCACUUUUAAUAGUCAAUAAUUACAAGAUUAAACUAUUUAUAGUCACAAGUUGAUCAAAUUGUGAAUGAUUUUGUGAAUAGUGAUAAUAAUUUCGAAAAGAUAUAUAUAUAUAUAUAUAUAUAUAAACAAUUAUGAUUAAUUGAGACAUUCUAAACUUGAAAGAGUGACGAAUAAUAUGAUAUUCAUCAAUGUUUACAGUCUAAAAAAAACUAAUUUUAAUAUUGUUUUUAAAAUUGUCUAAAUUUAUUUCUAUAAAUAAAUAAAUAUAAAACAACUCUUUCUAUCAAAACUGAAUAUGAAGAGUGAGAAAAAUAUAAUUUUAUCAAAUAAUCUAUCUUAUUAAAAUAUAAAUAAUUAAAAUUUGAAACUAUUUACAAUUUUUUUUUCAAAAUUAAUAUAUUGUAUUAAUAAAAAAAUUAUAUUUAUAGUUUUUAGUUAUUGUUUAAUGUGUCUAAUAAUUAUUCAAUAAUUUAUUAUAGAAAUUAAUAACUAACUGUCUACAAUUAAUUAUUAUAUAUAUAUAUAUAUCUAUUUUAUAGAUAUGAAACACAAAUCAAUUAUUUCACAUUAUUGUUUAAAUGAUAUCUUACUCACACAUUAUUGUUUAAAUGAUAUCUUUACUCACAAAAUGGGAAUUUUGACUUUAUGAAAAUAUUAUUAAUUAAUAGCACUUUCUAACAAAGUUGUUUUUAUUAAAAGUCCAAAAAUGUUUGUUUUUAGUUUUCUUCGAAAAUGGCUGUGUCUCGUUCUUCUUACAUCACAAGUAAUAAAAGGGAAAGAAUGAUAUUGCCACCUAUACGCGGUUGUAGUGCUUUUUGGCUGUGGUCCUGUGGACAUGCUAAUUUUGGUUCUGUAAACAUUGGUGGAAUUUCUAUUGAUAAGAAAGGAAAGUGUAAAUAAAAAAAAAUGGUGGUUCAUCUGGGUACGAGCCACCAGGCCAUGUGGACCUGAGUGGCUUUGAUCCGUUAUCCGUCCACUGCCGAGAGAGGGAGGUGAUCGCUGCUCUGUAAAAUUAAUAUAUUGUAUUAAUAAAAAAAUUAUAUUUAUAGUUUUUAGUUAUUGUUUAAUGUGUCUAAUAAUUAUUCAAUAAUUUAUUAUAGAAAUUAAUAACUAACUGUCUACAAUUAAUUAUUAUAUAUAUAUAUAUAUCUAUUUUAUAGAUAUGAAACACAAAUCAAUUAUUUCACAUUAUUGUUUAAAUGAUAUCUUACUCACACAUUAUUGUUUAAAUGAUAUCUUUACUCACAAAAUGGGAAUUUUGACUUUAUGAAAAUAUUAUUAAUUAAUAGCACUUUCUAACAAAGUUGUUUUUAUUAAAAGUCCAAAAAUGUUUGUUUUUAGUUUUCUUCGAAAAUGGCUGUGUCUCGUUCUUCUUACAUCACAAGUAAUAAAAGGGAAAGAAUGAUAUUGCCACCUAUACGCGGUUGUAGUGCUUUUUGGCUGUGGUCCUGUGGACAUGCUAAUUUUGGUUCUGUAAACAUUGGUGGAAUUUCUAUUGAUAAGAAAGGAAAGUGUAAAUAAAAAAAAAUGGUGGUUCAUCUGGGUACGAGCCACCAGGCCAUGUGGACCUGAGUGGCUUUGAUCCGUUAUCCGUCCACUGCCGAGAGAGGGAGGUGAUCGCUGCUCUGUGAAACCAGCCUCACGCAUUGCCCUCCCCUCUUUAGGAACCGCCUGAAUCAAGCCUUCGCCUAACACAAACGGAUCACUCUCGGCUUGGACUGGGCGGUCCAGAAGAUGCCAUACAGAACCGACCGGUGGGCCGAGCCAGUGUUCCACCAUCUUAUUGUCCCCACAUGGGUCACAAACUCUUGUUACUGAGCUCGACGUUCAAUCUUAUGAUUGAAGACUUAUAUAAACAACACAAUUUUGAGUCAAGUAACCGAUGUGGGACGAAGGACAAAUUUGGAGAUUUACCUGUGGGGGACUACAGUCUCUCUCUCUUUUUUCUCCUUUCUAACAAUUUGUCUCCACUUUGAGCAUCUGGAUUCUGUUAAUUUUGCAAAUGCACAAGGUGUAGUACAUACGUGUGUAUCGCAUUUUACAUGUUAGAAUCAAACUUGUAUAUGAAAGCUUGGUUUUUAUUGAAUCUAGUCUUUGUUUCUUGUUGUGUACUUUUGUUUAUGUGUUAGUCGGAUCUUUUUUUCUCAGCCUGUUAAGAUCUUCGAAGACUUCUACGAAUAUCAAGCUCAUAACCGUACAGGUGAGCAAAGAAACUCCAUUCCGGCUAUCUACCCUAAAGCUGUUUCUGCAGUUUCAGAAGAUCAUCCUCAGUUGCACAUCUCUUACAAACACACUACACGUCUCUAGAGCAUUCCAUUGAUUGAGGGAAUCAUAAGACUCGAGUGGACAUUUACAUGACUGUGAUGGACUAUGUGGUAUUCAGUAGCGGACAAGAAGACAAAGGAAUCCACCUGAGACAACCCACAAGUUGCAGGAAAUAUAUAAACGACUAUCACAAGAAACGAAAAAAGUUAAGGAUUCAGCUAGAGGUUUGUUUCUGUCGUAUUGAGUAGAACUACUAUUUCAUCUGGGAAAGUGCUGAACGUGAGCUCAUGUUACAGAUUCUACUCCAAAAAGCCACACAGAAGUUCUUCCCUCAGAUUACUUGCGAGUCUGUAACUUUUUAUAAGUUGCUUCCUGAGAUUGUUAGCUCUGUCAAAGUUGUCUCUGGAGUAUUAAACAUUUUCCGACAGAAGCUUGGUGAUGUAUCUUCAUGUUUUUUACCAAUUCAUCUCAUGUUUUAGCUCAGGUAUGCUACUCCAACAGGAUACCGUGUAAGGCAAGACUGAGUCGUGUUCUAGCCACCCCACUGUCCCCAAUCCUCUUGCAGAUGGCAAAGAUCUAGGAGAAGCUGUAGCAGUUCUCCUGUAUCACAGAUUCUUGUGGACUUGACUAAUAUUCAUAUUCUGAUCCAGGUUUUGGACAAUGCGAAAAAAUAGUAUAAUAGCCUACACAAAUCAAACGCACAUUUCAUUUUUUUUUUUUAACUUCCAACAUAUGUUACAAGGAAAAAACAAUUUCAAUCAAACCACACACACACACACACACCACUUUAUUCAAACUGUAUCUAAGAUCAGUUUAAAACUCAACGCUCUAUUUGAGUUUGGAUCAUGGAGAAAUUUAACAACAAUGGUAUUAAUAAGAUCAUCAUCAAUCAGGCUAUGAUUGUGACGCUGCACACGCAGGAACCAGACAGUUUUAUCUCAGAUGUUUUCCACUGCCUGCCUGGUGCAGCUUCCGGGUCAUACAGCAAAGUGCUGUGACCAGUCUCUUCUUGAGAUGAAAAAAGUAGAAGCUUCCCAUUCAGCUUACCAAACUGAAACCCGGCGCUCGAGCUUCCUGACAGCGGAAGAGCCACAACUUCCCAAGUAUCAUCUUCUGCAUUGAAGACAGACAUCUUCCUCUGGUUCUUCCACUCCAUACAGAAGAGCUUCUUUCCUACUUCAACAUGAGCUGUGACCAUCUGCAAUUGUAUCAAGAGCACCCAAAUAUUAGAGAUACUCUCUACCAAUGUUCAAGAACUCCGUAGAUUAUUCGGAACUUAAGCUUGGCCUAUGCAUUGACAAAUUAUUGAUUUAUUUUAUAUAUAUUUUACAUUUAUAUAAGAUGUUUUAUUUUUUGACUUUAGUUGUAUUUUUUUUUUAUGGAUUCUCAAAAUUAGACAUUAUUACUUAAUUUAACGGAUUUAGACUAAUCUAGAUCGAUUUAAACAGAUUUAAAAUGAUUUAAAUCGAUGUAGAAUGGUUUAGAUUAUCAAAUUUUUUGAAAAUUGUUUCGGAUAGUACUGUUUGCCGUAACCAUGGUUUCUAUACUUUAAAACCAAGCUAAAGAAACAUACUAUCAUGAGUAUCGUCUGAGGAGAAACACUUACAGUUACACCGUUUUUGCUGCCACACCAGGAGCCACACUGAGGGUUGUACACAUCAACAAGUUUUGAGUUACCAAUGGUGAAGUUGGAUCUCCCACCCAUCACAUAGAGCUUCCCGUUGAAGCCGCUAGCGAAACAUCCCCAUCUCGGACGCCUCAGAGACUGUAUGAAAGUCCAAACCCCUGUCUCUGGAUCGUAAACCUCUGCACUAGAAAGACUCUCACCAUCUCCACCAUGACCUCCCACCACAUAAACAAGCCCAUUCACCUCGGCGCAAGCAAAGUCAUAGCGAGCCUCCUUCAGGUCAGCUAGUCUGCUCCAGCUGGAUUAAAAAGUAUUAAAUCAUUGGAUCAAAGUUAACAAAGUAUGCUGGAAUUAAUUAAGAAAAUAAAUAGCUGACGAACCUGUUGAGGCAAGUAUCAAACUGGUAAACAUCAGAAGAUGCAACAUGAGAGCCACUGAUCAUAGCACAACCAGCAAUAACAAGAAGUUUCCCAUCAACAACAACCACCUUAAACCCUGUCUUUACAGGACCAGGCAUUGGUGGAAGAGAUGAUAGCUUAUGUCCCAGACAGUCGAUCACCUCCCAGUGACUCUCUUUCCCUCCAGCAUCCAUGGUUAAGACAUAGAGCCACUCCUCAGGCAUACCAGCGAGUCUUCUCACAGUAAUAAACUCUUUGCUCUGAACAACAUACCUCCAUCUCUUACAGACACGUCCCAUGGAAGGUAAGCUAGCACGCGGCACCAGCGCCAGACACAGCUUGGCCACAUCAUCAGACAACCCCGGGAUCAAAGGCUCAGACAGCAGCCGUGAACUGAGAUCAAGAUUUACCAUCCUUUUCUUCCCACUAACAACAGCCUCCAUCUUUUUGACUAAUCUUUUGAACAAGAGAGAUGGUUAAAUCUCCCAAUAUAAAUAUCUAUCUAAAGUAAAGUUUUGGUGUAUGAAGAAGUAGUUAUUGAAGAAUCUCGUGAAACCCGUCACGUAUAGGGAUUUUCAAAGACAAAGGAAUAAACAGGUUUGAUGAGAAGAAGACUAUCGCAGUGACCAAUGAUGAAUGAUGAUGAUGUCCAGCUUCAUAUUCCAUACCAAUGGCUUCGUUUCUAGAGUUUUUAGGAUCUAAGAUUGUCGUUGGAUUAAUGUUGUUUCUUCUCAGACACAUCUCUGU
RNAcentral lists this long non-coding RNA (11220 nucleotides) under Brassica napus (rape). RNAcentral's name for it is "long non-coding RNA (BNAP_LNC018156)". The record is from RNAcentral. Lineage: Eukaryota; Viridiplantae; Streptophyta; Magnoliopsida; Brassicales; Brassicaceae.